UGGCGGCGUGCCUAAUACAUGCAAGUCGAACGCACUCUCGUUUAGAUUGAAGGAGCUUGCUCCUGAUUGAUAAACAUUUGAGUGAGUGGCGGACGGGUGAGUAACACGUGGGUAACCUGCCCUAAAGUGGGGGAUAACAUUUGGAAACAGAUGCUAAUACCGCAUAAAACCUAACACCGCAUGGUGUAGGGUUGAAAGAUGGUUUCGGCUAUCACUUUAGGAUGGACCCGCGGUGCAUUAGUUAGUUGGUGAGGUAAAGGCUCACCAAGACCGUGAUGCAUAGCCGACCUGAGAGGGUAAUCGGCCACACUGGGACUGAGACACGGCCCAGACUCCUACGGAGGCAGCAGUAGGGAAUCUCCCACAAUGGACGAAAGUCUGAUGGAGCAACGCCGCGUGAGUGAAGAAGGUUUUCGGAUCGUAAAACUCUGUUGUUGGAGAAGAAUGUAUCUGAUAGUAACUGAUCAGGUAGUGACGGUAUCCAACCAGAAAGCCACGGCUAACUACGUG
Molecule: ribosomal RNA, 510 nt
Filed under: uncultured bacterium
Lineage: Bacteria
Description: bacterial SSU rRNA
Rfam family: Bacterial small subunit ribosomal RNA
Source: RNAcentral